AUUGAACGCUCGCGGGAUGCUUUACACAUGCAAGUCGAACGGCAGCGCGGACUUCGGUCUGGCGGCGAGUGGCGAACGGGUGAGUAAUGUAUCGGAACGUGCCCAGUAGCGGGGGAUAACUACGCGAAAGCGUAGCUAAUACCGCAUACGCCCUACGGGGGAAAGCAGGGGAUCGUAAGACCUUGCACUAUUGGAGCGGCCGAUAUCGGAUUAGCUAGUUGGUGAGGUAACGGCUCACCAAGGCGACGAUCCGUAGCUGGUUUGAGAGGACGACCAGCCACACGGGGACUGGAACACGGCCCAGACUCCUAAGGGAGGGAGCAGUGGGGAAUUUUGGACAAUGGGGGCAACCCUGAUCCAGCCAUCCCGCGUGUGCGAUGAAGGCCUUCGGGUUGUAAAGCACUUUUGGCAGGAAAGAAACGUCGCGGGCUAAUACCCCGUGGAACUGACGGUACCUGCAGAAUAAGCACCGGCUAACUACGUG
This 484-nucleotide ribosomal RNA is filed under the name uncultured bacterium. Its description in RNAcentral is "partial 16S ribosomal RNA". It matches the Rfam family "Bacterial small subunit ribosomal RNA", at positions 30 to 507 of the family's 1533-position model. The record is from RNAcentral.